This 497-nucleotide ribosomal RNA is filed under the name uncultured bacterium. RNAcentral's name for it is "partial 16S ribosomal RNA". It matches the Rfam family "Bacterial small subunit ribosomal RNA", at positions 28 to 507 of the family's 1533-position model. The record is from RNAcentral.
GAUGAACGCUGGCGGCGUGCCUAAUACAUGCAAGUCGAGCGAACAGACGAGGAGCUUGCUCCUCUGACGUUAGCGGCGGACGGGUGAGUAACACGUGGAUAACCUACCUAUAAGACUGGGAUAACUUCGGGAAACCGGAGCUAAUACCGGAUAAUAUAUUGAACCGCAUGGUUCAAUAGUGAAAGACGGUUUUGCUGUCACUUAUAGAUGGAUCCGGGCGGCAUUAGCUAGUUGGUAAGGUAACGGCUUACCAAGGCAACGAUGCGUAGCCGACCUGAGAGAGUGAUCGGCCACACUGGAACUGAGACACGGUCCAGACUCCUACGGGAGGCAGCAGUAGGGAAUCUGCCGCAAUGGGCGAAAGCUUGACGGAGCAACGCCGCGUGAGUGAUGAAGGUCUUCGGAUCGUAAAACUCUGUUAUUAGGGAAGAACAAAUGUGUAAGUAACUAUGCACGUCUUGACGGUACCUAAUCAGAAAGCAACGGCUAACUACGUG